ACAAAGGCUCUUUUCAGAGCCACCUACAAGUUUCUAUGUAAAGGGCU
Molecule: non-coding RNA, 47 nt
Organism: Cricetulus griseus (Chinese hamster)
Lineage: Eukaryota; Metazoa; Chordata; Mammalia; Rodentia; Cricetidae
Source: Rfam